Molecule: ribosomal RNA, 468 nt
Filed under: uncultured bacterium
Lineage: Bacteria
Description: partial 16S ribosomal RNA
Rfam family: Bacterial small subunit ribosomal RNA
Source: RNAcentral
GAUGAACGCUGGCGGCGUGCUUAACACAUGCAAGUCGAACGGAAAGGCCGAAGCUUGCUUCGUUUCUCGAGUGGCGAACGGGUGAGUAACACGUGUGUGAUCUGCCCUGUACUUCGGGAUAGGCUUGGGAAACUGGGUCUAAUACCGGAUAUGACGAUCUCUUGGAUGGGGUUGUGGAAAGCUUUUGCGGUAUGGGAUGAGGUCGCGGACUAUCCGCUUGUUGGUGGGGUAAUGGCCUACCAAGGCGUUGACGGGUAGCCGGCCUGAGAGGGUGUACGGCCACAUUGGGAUGGAGAGACGGCCCAGACUACUACGGGAGGCAGCAGUGGGGAAUAUUGCACAAUGGGAGCAAGCCUGAUGCAGCGACGCCGCGGGGGGGAUGACGGCCUUCGGGUGGGAAACUCCUUUCGCAAUGGACGAAGGCUUUUGGUGACGGUAGGUUGAGAAGAAGCACCGGCUAACUACGUG